GUGAGGAAUAUUGGACAAUGGGCGCAAGCCUGAUCCAGCCAUGCCGCGUGCAGGAAGACGCAUCUAUGGUGUGUAAACUGCUUUUGUACGGGAAGAAACACUCCCUCGUGAGGGAGCUUGACGGUACCGUAAGAAUAAGGAUCGGCUAACUCCGUGCCAGCAGCCGCGGUAAUACGGAGGAUCCAAGCGUUAUCCGGAAUCAUUGGGUUUAAAGGGUCCGUAGGCGGUUUAAUAAGUCAGUGGUGAAAGCCCAUCGCUCAACGAUGGAACGGCCAUUGAUACUGUUAGACUUGAAUUACAAGGAAGUAACUAGAAUAUGUAGUGUAGCGGUGAAAUGCUUAGAUAUUACAUGGAAUACCAAUUGCGAAGGCAGGUUACAACUUGUGGAUUGACGCUGAUGGACGAAAGCGUGGGGAGCGAACAGGAUUAGAUACCCUGGUAGUCC
This 445-nucleotide ribosomal RNA is filed under the name uncultured bacterium. Its description in RNAcentral is "partial 16S ribosomal RNA". It matches the Rfam family "Bacterial small subunit ribosomal RNA", at positions 354 to 796 of the family's 1533-position model. The record is from RNAcentral.